Molecule: ribosomal RNA, 612 nt
Filed under: Myxococcus sp.
Lineage: Bacteria; Pseudomonadati; Myxococcota; Myxococcia; Myxococcales; Myxococcaceae
Description: bacterial SSU rRNA
Rfam family: Bacterial small subunit ribosomal RNA
Source: RNAcentral
GCAGUCGAGCGCGAAUAGGGGCAACCCUUAGUAGAGCGGCGCACGGGUGCGUAACACGUGGAUAAUCUGCCUGGAUGCUCGGGAUAACCAGUCGAAAGAUUGGCUAAUACCGGAUAAGCCCACGGUUUCUUCGGAGACUGAGGGAAAAGGUGGCCUCUGUAUACAAGCUAUCACAACCAGAUGAGUCCGCGGCCCAUCAGCUAGUUGGCGGGGUAAUGGCCCACCAAGGCAACGACGGGUAGCUGGUCUGAGAGGACGAUCAGCCACACUGGAACUGAGACACGGUCCAGACUCCUACGGGAGGCAGCAGUGGGGAAUUUUGCGCAAUGGGCGAAAGCCUGACGCAGCAACGCCGCGUGUGUGAUGAAGGUCUUCGGAUUGUAAAGCACUUUCGACCGGGACGAAAACCCGUAGCCCAACACGCUACGGCUUGACGGUACCGGGAGAAGAAGCACCGGCUAACUCUGUGCCAGCAGCCGCGGUAAUACAGAGGGUGCAAGCGUUGUUCGGAAUUAUUGGGCGUAAAGCGCGUGUAGGCGGCGUGACAAGUCGGGUGUGAAAGCCCUCAGCUCAACUGAGGAAGUGCGCCCGAAACUGUCGUGCUUGAGUGCC